Molecule: ribosomal RNA, 492 nt
Filed under: uncultured bacterium
Lineage: Bacteria
Description: partial 16S ribosomal RNA
Rfam family: Bacterial small subunit ribosomal RNA
Source: RNAcentral
AGUGAACGCUGGCGGUAGGCCUAACACAUGCAAGUCGAACGGCAGCACCGUAAGAGCUUGCUCUUACGGGUUGCGAGUGGCGGACGGGUGAGGAAUACAUCGUAAUCUACUUUUUCGGGGGGGUUCACGUAAGGAAACCUACGCUAAUACCGCAUCCGACCUACGGGUGAAAGCAGUGGAUCGUCUGACCUGUCGCGAUUGAAUGAGCCGAUGUCGGGUUAGCUAGUUGGCGGGGUAAAGGCCCACUAAGGCGACGAUCCGUAGCUUGUGUGAGAGGAUGAUCGGCCACACUGGAACUGAGACACGGUCCAGACUCCUAAGGGAGGCAGCAGUGGGGAAUAUUGGACAAUGGGCGGAAGCAUGAUCCAGCCAUACCGCGUGGGUGAAGAAGGCCUUCGGGGUGUAAAGCCCUUUUGUUGGGAAAGAAAAGCAGCAGGUUAAUACCCCGCUGUUCUGACGGUACCCAAAGAAUAAGCGCCGGCUAACUUCGUG